Molecule: long non-coding RNA, 2317 nt
Filed under: Nicotiana tabacum (common tobacco)
Lineage: Eukaryota; Viridiplantae; Streptophyta; Magnoliopsida; Solanales; Solanaceae
Description: long non-coding RNA (NTAB_LNC011082)
Source: RNAcentral
CCAACAUUACUAAAUAUCCUCAAAUCUGUUAUUACAUAGUUAUUACAGACUAAAAUAGCCGAAUGAAUUACAUAAUGGUAAUAGUUACACUAUAGGGAGCCUUCAUAGGCCCAAAUAAACAUAGGAACCAAGCCUUCUGUCCAUAGCCACUUUAAAGCACAACAUAUGGGUUCAUAGCAUAUUAGGACCAGGUUUCGAAUAUGUCAAAAUUCCCAAGGGCCUCAGGGGACCCCGGACAAUGCUCACAUCAGAACCACAUUCAGGAGACAAUUCAUAAAAGAUUGAAAAACCAGCCCCCAGUUUGUCAGAGUUUAAAGGAGUCUCAAGGACCCUAGGCAGUGCUCACUGGAGUGGUUGAGAACCUAAGGGACUAAGAGCAGGGGUUUUGAAAAUAAGUACAUAAAAGUAAUAAAGGGAAGGUUAUAAAAUAGUUCAAUUUCAGAAGAAGGAAAGUUCAGAACACAGAGUUGCAGGCAAAACUGCACCAGGAAGCAAACAAGGUUCAUGUUCAACAUAUAAUUCAAAUAGGUUGAAAUCUAAUUAAGCUAAUAGUCAUGCUAGUAUUCAAAAUAGUUAUGGCUUAAUCAUAGAAACAAUUAUCUAGAAACAAUUGAGUUAAACAAACAUGACAUAUGAGUUGGGCAACAGGCUAACUGAUUACAUGUUUAUAGUGCGCAAAGUUCAUAACAGGUAGAGGAUUGACAAGUAAUACAUGAAACAAGUUAAACCUUAGGCUAAAUCAUAGGAGGAUUCAUAUUUUUCGAAAAAAAUUAGUCCUAAGUUAACAGUGUUACUAAAUGGAUCACAUAAUCACAUAAGUGACAAAGUCAUGCUAGGAAUUGAAACAGACUAGUCAAGCAGAGCAUAGAGAAUAAUAUUGCAAAUGGUAGGGCAUACCAAUUAAGUGAGAAAGCAAGUAAGUAUACCACAACAAUGAGGUUCCAGAAUAAUUUUGGCCUUGUCUUUCAUCCUGCCAAAAUCAAGAGAUACUUAGCACAUAAAUCAGAUUAAGAGAGCAAGAGAGAGCUUAAGUUUUAAGUGAGAGUAGGAGAGUGCGAGUCUUCUUUAGAGGGAGUGGGGACGGGGUUUAAAUAGUACUCAACUAGGUAGAUAAACAAGGUAAUGAAUCAGUCUUACACGAAUAAGGAAUAAGAAUAACUCUAAAAUCAAUCAAAGUUGGAGUUCAAUCAAUUAGCAGCAUAUAAUUAUGCCAGUACUACUUAAAUUAAGGAAAGCAUUAUACAGAAUCAAUCAGUAGUCAAGUACUAGAUAAAUUAAGGUAAGGAAAUAAUGAGAACAGGCAAAUCGAACAAAAUAAGAAAAUAUCAGUAUCAUACAAGAAAGGAAAAGUUGGAAUCUAAGCAAAGAUGUCUAAAUCCUAAUUUGUGGUAAGUAAAAUUAAUCAACAAUUAAUGCCAGAGUUAAGGACAAAUAGACAAAAAUAUCAAGAGAAAUAAUUAAACAAUCGAAACCCUGAAAAAUAUGCGAAAUACAACGAUAUAUAGUUGGAAAUAAUUAGGGUAAGUGAAAUCAGUCAGAAGUAAUAAAGGAAACCGUAAUAGAUACAUAGAUAUGAAAUAACAGAUUUUGUUCGUCUUUGAAAAUUAAAAACCUAAUUUUAGGGUAAAUAAAAUCGGUCAAAAAUAGUAGAGAAACUAUAAAACACAGAGAUAGAGAUACUGAAGCAUUAAAGGAAAAAUACUAGCAUAAAAAUCGUUUCAGAUCUGAAAAGAUCUAAACCCUAAUUUUAGGGUAAGUAAAAGAUUCAACCAAAAAUAGACAGAUUCGAUGAGUAACAAGGUAAAUAUAGAUGGAGAAUAACAUAAAUCAAACAAAAAUUGAAUCAAAUCUGUUCCGAAUCAAAAUCUGCAAUCCCAACUAAAAGAUACAAAAAUAUUCGUACUCACAGAGGUUAGGAUGAACACAGACGGAAACGACCACAAUUUAAGAGAUUUUGAACCAGAUCUAGUUCUAAUAUCUCGAGAUUAGCUUGCCAUUUGAGGCAAGCCCGGCAAGUAAUACCAAAAUGAGUAGUCGGUAAAGAGGUAAGACCAGAUAUGGUAAGGAAUCAAGAAAUGAUUCCAUUUCUAGGUAGGAAUCAUAGGGAAAUGGUGACGGCGGGUUAGGGGUUGAGAGGGUGAGGGGUGAGGAGAUGAGAGGAUUAGUGGACGACGGAUGGUGUAAACUGAAUUAAUGUUAGGGGGUUUAGUAUAAUUAAAAGGGUGUGGGUGAUUGGGAGCCGUUGAUCUUCUGAGAUCAACGGCUAGGAUUAGAGAUUAUGGCCGGGCGGGUUAAUUUGGACGGGUUUGGGUCUGGG